RNAcentral lists this transfer RNA (76 nucleotides) under Phycisphaerales bacterium. Its description in RNAcentral is "tRNA-Gly". It matches the Rfam family "tRNA". From Rfam's summary of the family: Transfer RNA (tRNA) molecules are approximately 80 nucleotides in length. Their secondary structure includes four short double-helical elements and three loops (D, anti-codon, and T loops). Further hydrogen bonds mediate the characteristic L-shaped molecular structure. tRNAs have two regions of fundamental functional importance: the anti-codon, which is responsible for specific mRNA codon recognition, and the 3' end, to which the tRNAs corresponding amino acid is attached (by aminoacyl-tRNA synthetases). tRNAs cope with the degeneracy of the genetic code in two manners: having more than one tRNA (with a specific anti-codon) for a particular amino acid; and 'wobble' base-pairing, i.e. permitting non-standard base-pairing at the 3rd anti-codon position. The record is from RNAcentral. Lineage: Bacteria; Pseudomonadati; Planctomycetota; Phycisphaerae; Phycisphaerales. RNAcentral also lists the same sequence under 1 other name.
GCGGAGAUAGCUCAGUUGGUAGAGCACUAGCCUUCCAAGCUGGAUGUCGCGAGUUCGAGCCUCGUUCUCCGCUCCA